Non-coding RNA from Penaeus vannamei (Pacific white shrimp), 1044 nucleotides. NCBI's taxonomy places the organism in Eukaryota, Metazoa, Arthropoda, Malacostraca, Decapoda, Penaeidae. The record is from RefSeq and is a predicted model, not a curated record.
CAACAUUUUUCAUUGCUUUUUUCCCUAGGGUAAAUUAUUUAUCACAGUUUCUUUCCUAAUAUUUUAUAUAUAGUUUUAAUUGUAUCCAAUUAUGGUAUUUGUAGUACUGAAUAAUGAAGUUGAUCUUUGCUACGUUUACAAAAUCCCAGAAAAAGACAAUGUUCAGUGUUGAAGGUGAUGCAGAGUCAUUUCUUUCCCUAUAUUAUGGGUUCUAUUCCUUCAGCAAGUGAUUGUCAGUAUAAAUGCUUUUUUGUGCACAAAUGUUUGUGAGGCUGGAAAGUUGUCAGUGCGUGGAUGAAUAUUUUAAAACAUGGGCUAGUGAAGCGUUAGUUGUAACAACAUGGUUGCACUGAGAAGUGAGAUCCCCAACAGGUUUAAUUGCAGGACAUAAAAAGCUGGAGUGAGCAGUACAUUAGCGUUGGUAAUUUUCAUAAAAAGCGUCUGCUACAAAGAGAAGGAGCUUGGUGUAAGUUCAAUCACAUUUAAUCCUAAUUUCUCUGAAUGUGCUACAGAGGUUUGCUAAUAAAUACAAAAAUCUUUAUGUGCAAUAAAUAGAAAAGCUAUAACCAGCCUUAGAGUUUGCCAAGUGGGGAUAGAAGUAAAAUGAUUAUGUAGUAUGAUAAUUUGGGAUGACUGGAAAAGAUGCAAUGAAAACUUGGCAGUAUUAUCAGUAGUAGCAUAUCAGUCAGGGGGCACUGCUCAGUGAAGUUACCUUUGUGAUCUCAGGCAGGGGUCAGGACAUGUAUGACAGUAUUAUGACAAAUUUGAAGACAAAGAACAGUACUCUUUGCUAAAUGUUUUUUGCUUAGGUAGAACCUUAAUUAAAAUUAUUCUUCCUUGCCAGUGCUUUGUUAGCUGAUCAUAUUUUGCUAAUAUUGUUAUGAACAUGUUUAAGCAAGAAAAGGUAUGAUGUCAGCCAAGUCCUAGCCUGGCCCUACGUGUCCUGACUGCCUCCACGUUGUACGCUCUCCAGCUCGUGCUAGCAUACCAGUCCCAUCUUUGAUAUGUAUUCAUAUGUUCUUAAAUAAAAUAUACAAUGUCUUU